Molecule: small nucleolar RNA, 135 nt
Organism: Parambassis ranga (Indian glassy fish)
Lineage: Eukaryota; Metazoa; Chordata; Actinopteri; Ambassidae
Source: Ensembl
GUGCACAGUGAACACCCAGAGAUGCUAAUGUGGCUCCCUCUGGUCUCUAAUUACUGUGCUACAGCAAUUCUGAUCUUUUCCUCUGCAUUAGGAGAGCUUCACCUCUCCUAAUGCAUUCAGUUGAUCAGGACAAAC